GGGCGUUUGGCGUUCUCGUUGGGUGUGGGGCGAAGCCCGCGGGGUUGCGGUGCGUGGACUGGCGUGCGGCGCACACUACCGCGUGCGGCUCGCCGCGCGGUCGGCUGCUGGCACCUCUCCCUUCAGUGAGACACUGCAUGCGGCGACCACGGGCGGCUUAUCGAAAGCAGCGCUCGAGAAACAUCUGCUCACAACGAACAGUAGCUGUGUCCGACUGAACUUACUAUCGUGGGACAGCAACGGCUGCCCGCUCAUCCAUUUCAUCGUGUCCAUCCGCGGCUUCGACGAAUCCGCCUGGAGGUCGGAGAGUUUGGAGCUAACCUCGGAGCCUACGAGCUUCUGCGGUCUGACCUCCGCCACGUGGUACCAUCUACGAGUAGUUGCCACCGGUACCGGUGGUGUCACUACUGCUACUUAUUACUUCUCGACGUUGACAGUGACUGGAGAACGUAUUCCGGCGCCUGCGCAGUUCCCGCCUGGCGGCGAGGAGAUAGCUGGACCUGCUGGAACUGCACUGUUGGCGGCUGCCGCUGCGCUCGCCGCUGUUCUCUUACUAUUGGCCGCCCUACUAUAUACAAGAAGUUCAUCAAGAAAGUGCUUUCGGAACGGGUACGAAGCUAGCCGAGUAUCAGAGGAAGAUAAGAGCGUUGAGAAGCGAGACAAUAGACGCAAUUGUCAGCAGGUGUAUACUUCAUCUCCUAUCAAAUGUCCCAAGAAGGAGCAACAAGAAAUGUACGAGAUCAGCCCAUACGCUACGUUUAGCAUGGCGGGCGGAGCGGUGUGCGAGACGGGCGAGACUGGUGGUGCGGGAGCGGGUGCAGCGGCAGGAGCAGCGGCGGUGACGGUAGCGGGCGGAGGGAGCGGUGCGGGGGUAACGCUUCGCACGUUUGGUCGCGCUGAACCCAUGCCACUCAACGCUGCACCGCCGAUUCACGCGCACCGAUCGCCUGCUGACUCAGUGUCAGAUGAGUACACGUUGUCGCGUGCAAUGACGCUGAUGGUGCGGCGAGCGGAGUCCGACUCGGACUCGAGUGGGUCGCCAUGUGCCGAGUGCAACUCCGCCAUUGCUUACCGGAUGCCACUCGCACCCGCUAAGGGGACCGCGGCUUAUAAAGCGGUAACAGAGGAGGUGUUCCGUGCAGUGACUGACUCGAGCGCGGAGUCCUGCACAUCCGGAAGCCGGGACAAGUCGCGUCGCAGGCCACGAAGGCAUCACACUCCAAACUCUAGCAGGUACCCGCAGCGACAGGAACAAGAGAGAAGAGAUUUUACAAUACACGUAUAAAUAUUAUUAUUAUGACAAUAAAGACUGCUAAAAGCAUUUAUAAUAUUAUUAAUUUUUAGUUAUUGUUAUUUAAAUGAUAUCAUGUUACGUUUAGGAAUUAUGAAUGUUUAUAUUAAUAUUGUAUACUCGAAUUUAUAGCGGCCUAUUUGGAAACUGUAUUUAUAAUUGAUGGAACACAUCGACAAAAAUAUCUAAAUUGUAAAUUUUAAUAUUUUUUUGAUACAUAGAACAUAAUUAUGUAGUUGUUACGAUAAAACAAUAAUUAUUAAGUAUUCAGCUGCAACGUAGUAGCUAAUAUUAGAGUAAUAAUAAUAUUUAACUAUAUUUUUCAGAUUAUAAUAAUAAAUCUAGAAUGUUCCAUGUUCUAUUUGAUUUGAAUCGUGGUGGGAAUUUUUUAUUAUUUUGUUUUAAAAAAAAUUGGUGAUUUCUUGCUGGUGGCAAGCUGAGUAAUUUUUUUUUUUUUGAAUUUUAAUAUGUUUUAAUGUUAUUGAGUAAUACUGAGCCACAAUUGUUGGUUUUACUUACAAGGUGUAUGUUUAAUAAAGAUUUUGAUUUAAAGAUAUUUAUUACACAAAUUAAAUUUGUAAACAAAAUUUAUGAACGACGCGGCCCAACACCAGAGAGUUGAACAUGACAUACCAAGUUUUAUGAACGAUACGUUACUCGAACGGUAGGCUCAGUGGAAGAGCACUCGGGGGGACCCUGAGAGGUCACGCGUUCACGUCUCGCAUCGUUCCUAAAUUUUGUUUACAAAUUUAGUUUGUCUAAUCACAGAAGUGGGGGUUAUCACUUAAAAAAUAUAACAAACUUUUUAAAGGUUUAAAACGCGUUUACACGCGUUACAAUUACUUGUAAGAGUGUUUUAAAAGUUUGUGCUCUGAAAAGGUCACGAAACUUGGGGUGAGCUAAAAUAAAAAUAAAAAUGUUAGUUUUAUACAAAAACCAAUUUUAAUCCUGUAAAAAGUGUUUUAUUAUAUAUGUGUGUAACCCUCGCGUUAAUCAAAGAAAAUACUUAAGGUUCAAAUGUUACUGUGGGAUAGUAAAAACAAAUUCUCUUAUUUUAACGUCAGUUCAUUCUACACAUUUCCUGAAAUUCAAUUGAAGGAUUCUUUAUUUAAUUCCAUUAUAAUCAUAACUUCAUAAUUCAUUCCAAUGAUAAAAUAAACUUGGUAUAAAGUUAUAACUGAUGAUAAACAAAGAAAAUGCAAAAUGUUUACAAUAUCGUUGACAACACUGUCAAUACAAUGAUAAUUCUGAAGUUUUCCAAAUGACAAGUUGCAUUGCAAAUAAACGCGGGAAGCGUUAUAUGUCCGAAUAAACCAUUCGUCAGCAAAAUGUCUAUUUGUAAACAUACGUUAUAACUUUAUGCCAAUUUUAUUUGUAAGGCCGUUAAACUUUAUGUUAAUUCAUUGAAUUAACUUUCUUCUAACAUAAGUAUUAUGAGGUACCUUAGCGUUUUAAAAUAUAUCUGUUAACAAAAUAGUUUAAAACACUGCUCAAAGAUGUUUUUAUAUUUAACUGUAUACUAAUAAUCUACCGUAACA
Long non-coding RNA from Leptidea sinapis, 2829 nucleotides. RefSeq lists it as uncharacterized. The record is from RefSeq and is a predicted model, not a curated record. The transcript has 8 exons. Lineage: Eukaryota; Metazoa; Arthropoda; Insecta; Lepidoptera; Pieridae.